GGUGAUUAUUUGUCUCCUACUUUUGUACUCCAAUGGAAGUGAGUUUAUACUUAUCCAAAUAUAGCUAUGUUGAGCAUUAUCUUUGCCCAGACUCCUUUGGAGUUGGGUGUUUAUCACCUACUGAGUAUAUACCUAUGGAAUGUGAGCAGAGCUCUUUUAAAUCAGAGAUUUCAAAAAUCGGAGAGUCCAUUGUCUACCUGUUCUCUACUUCCUGUGAGACAGAAUGUGGAUGUACCUGCAAUGCCAUUUAACUCAGGCUGAUCAGAAAAGGAGCAAUGAACAAACAAUCCUACCCGACCUCUCCUGUCACAAAACCAGAAAGCCAACCAACCAACCAACCAAACACCCUGGAGGAUGGAGGAUGGCAGAGACACAAAUUGAAGAAAACUGUGUCCUAAAUGGCAACAACCUUCUGAUAUGUAACAUUGGAUUGUUAUGUAACAGGAAAAUAACUUUAUCUUCUUGAGACUGGUGAAUUAGUACUGACACUUCAAUACUAUGCCCUAUCAUUGUCCUAGCUCAUGCAAGGGUACUUCAAUUUUUCCUAUUCUCUGGAAGAGAUUGGUUAAUAUUGUAUUUAUCUAUUUCUUGAAAGUGUCAUAGCACUUGCCUAUAAAAUCAUGGAGACUGAUAUAUUCUUCAGUGGGGGGAAAACCCCCACAGAUUUAAUAGGUACAUGACAAGUUGCUAUCUAUUUUUUUUUCUGAGUCAAUUUUUACAAGUUAUAUUGUCCUAGGAAUUUUUCCAUUUUGUAUGAAUAUUAAACUUUUGUUGGCAAAAGUUUUAAAAAGUAUACAAUGAAUCAAAAUGCAUUCUGUGG
This 820-nucleotide long non-coding RNA is filed under the name Marmota monax (woodchuck). The record is from RNAcentral. Lineage: Eukaryota; Metazoa; Chordata; Mammalia; Rodentia; Sciuridae.